RNAcentral lists this transfer RNA (67 nucleotides) under Glyptotermes satsumensis. RNAcentral's name for it is "tRNA-Trp". The record is from RNAcentral. Lineage: Eukaryota; Metazoa; Arthropoda; Insecta; Blattodea; Kalotermitidae.
AAGGCCUUAAGUUAAGAAAACUAAUAUCCUUCAAAGCUAUAAAUAAAGAAUGACCCUUUAGACCUUA